GCGAGAGGGAUUCGCCAGACAGCCCCGCGCGCGCCGCACUGCGUCCCACGGCCCCACCACACAAACCCUAGCUUCCCACGCCCCGCAGCGCCGCACUCCCUCCUCCUCCGUCCUUCUUCGUCAGCCGCCGCCGCCGCUGUUCCGCCUCGCUCCUCUCUGUCCAACGACCACGCCACCACGAGGAAGCCGCUGCGCAAGUGGUCAAGGGACGGCCGCCAUCACGAGCCAGGGGACGCCCGUUGGCGAGCCUCUGGGCAGGAAGCCAACGGGGAGGAUGCAACAAGCCGCCAGGGUCUUCUCGCUAGAAGGUGGAGGAGUAGAGGAUCCAAAUCCGAGGCGUGCAACGCGGCGGUGAGCGUCUCCGGCAGCGGCGGUGACCUGCGGGCAAAGGGGGACGGCUGGGGUGCUCGAUUCGAUCCAGCGCCAUGAGCCUGUACUUGCUGGAGAGAGAGCAGAUGAGGGAAAGAUAGAACGAGAGGAGGGAGAAAUACAGAGGAAAGAGGAGAGGGAGCUGCAAUGGUAGAUGGGAGAUGAACACGGUCUGGGGCCGGCCAUUCGCAUCUCUCCUCCUCUCCUGCUCUUGACCACCAUCGUGCCCUUCCCCCCUUCGCUUCUAGGAGUAGCUAUUUUCCUCGCUCGUCCUGCUGUUUGGCUUGAGUGUUUCUCCUUCCCAAAUCUGGUUGUAUGAUCUGGCCCAUUAUUGCGUCUCCAUUCUGUUCGUUGCUUCGUCUCCGUGUUGCUCGUCAAGAAAAGGAUCUCGUUUUGGACACCACAGCCUCGCUCAUGGCAUGCUUAAGGGUGACCUUUGGGAUGUAUACGGUGAUUGUUCCAUGGGAGUGUGUGCUGAGCUUUGUGCUGACAAUCAUGCCCCGACGAGGGAAGACCAGAGAGAUUCAGUGGUGGUGAAUAUUAAUAUCAAAUAGAGAAGGGCACAUACAAUCGGUCUUUCCAGUGUGAACUGAUCACUAGCAUUAUCACCAUUUUCAUGCAGGUUCAUUGUUUUAUAUCUUGUUUCUCCAUCUCAUACAUCAUCAUGUAUGCUUUGAAACAAUGGCACCAUGUUGCUUUUCUUGUUGGUGCAGUGCCUCCUCUGCCAUGAUGAUGGGCGCCAUGUCCGACCUUACAAAACACCAAGUUCAUGCCAAAAAUGCUCUUUACGUCUAGAUGACAAAUCCAUUAUUCCCUACACUGUCAUGCUGGAUACUCUUUUCUUCAGGGAGAAGUUUAGGUGGUCUGGUAGGUUGCGUGGCAGUGGCUAGCGCGUGGACGAGGAGAGCAAGGGGACGAUGGCUCAUCCAAGAGCCAGUGACGAGGAGUGACGAGGAGGAGCACACAGGGAAGUUGGCUCCAUCCCUGCCUCCUCUAUUGCCAUUGAAGGCUUGAAGCACUGAAAAGGGGAGAGCAAGGGUACACAAUCCCCCGUUCCAGUCCAACCAGGUAAUCCAUGUUGAACAUUUGAAUUUUCCUGCUAAAUGCUUAUUGUUCAAGGAGCAAUGAUAGUAUUCUGCAAGCUGCUUCUGAAGAAUGAUCAUUAGCCUCAUUUAGCUGGAUGUUUUUUCUGGUGAACUAAUGGUGGAUAAUUGAGCUCUCAGUAAUGAUUUGUACCGGAUUAUUUCAAGGGCAACCACUCAGCCAGGGUGACUUACUGGAAUGAUUAUGUCGAUGAUAAGGAGCUAGGGUGAUCUUGCAUUGUACUCAAGAGUAGUAGUUCUAAACAUGUUAGUAAAACAAAAGUAGGUAUGUUUACCCUGGAAUUUAACUCAACCUUAUUCUUUAUUAUGUAGCCACCAUGUGGACAAGCUGGCACCUCCUGGUUACAUUUUGUUCACUUCAUGUGGCAUUAUGUAUGAAGCUCUUUGACAUUGAGGAUCUCUUUAUUUGUUUUUUCCUAACCCUGUCGUGGGAUUCUUAGUAGCCUUUCCUGUAUAUGAACAAAUUGCAAGAGAUGCAUGCAAUUCACGGCCUGUGAAAGGUUGUUCGUAUGACACAUCCAUCUCACAGAUCCACCUCCUCUAUAUCUACAGGUACCACUUCCUACAUAAUGGAGUGUCUGAUCUCGCUACAUCCAAAAAAGGAGCUUGCAUGAUGCGGUGGUUUUCUAACUGCUUUCCCCUUUGUUUUGAUUGUGAUGUGAAAUGUGUCUAUUGAGCAUGAACUAUAGAUGGAGAUUUUAACAGUAUGGGCCAAUCAACGGACACAACAUUCACAUAACUAUAGGAGGAACAAAAUAAUGCAUCUCUGUAGAGUAUGGUCAUAAUCCUGAUGUUGAAAAUCCAACUGAGACAGCUAUACAUGUUCUUCCUUUUCUUGGUAGUAAUAUACUCCCCCGUACCUAAAUAUAAGUCUUUCUAGAGAUUUCACAACGGAAUACAUACGGAGCAAAAUGAUUGAAUCCACACUCUAAAGUACGUCUAUAUACAUUCGUAUGUAGUCCGCAUUGAAAUCUCUAAAAAGACUUAUAUUUAGAAAUGGAGGGAGUAGAAGAUGGCACGGACAGAGAUUUAUCUGUACCAUCCAGACUUAGGUAUGUCCAAUUUUCAGAGUAGUCUAGGAAGUACACUGCCUAGAACAACAUUCAGUGCACUUGCGUAAUACUCCCUUCGUUUCUAAAUAUAAACCUUUUUAGAUAUUCCAACAUGGACUACAUACAAAGCAAAAUGAAUGAAUCUACAUUCUAAAAUAUGUCUAAAUACAUUUGUAAGUAGUCCGUAUUGAAAUCUCUAAAGUGGCUUAUAUUUAGGAACAGAGGGAGUAUAAUCAUAAAUCACAAUCACAUACUGUGCUCAUUGUCCAAUGUGUUGUAGGACCCAGUUAGGAUAUCAUGUUUGUGGGGCAAUCUGUUGCGGUUGCAAUGUUUAGUUCCUAAGUUAACUAUGAUUGUGUUCUGCUUAUAAAUUAAUGAAGUUUACACAUGUUCAGUUGGCAUUCAUGCUUUAUUUCUUUUAGCAGUUUACUGAUCAUUUUCAGACAAUAAAUAUAAAAACUCUGCAACUCAUGUUUCCUUCUGAAACAUUAUUUUGGAUAAAGCAACAAGAGUGUGUUACUGCCUGUAUGUUUAUUGGCUGUACUUUUGAUCUGCUUUUGUUACAAGACAUUUCAUCAAUUCUUGUGUAGACAUGCUUUUAUUGGUUUGCUUCUAAAUGCAUCUUUAUCUGCACUUGUAGGCUCUGCGGGAUUUGAUGAUGUAUGCGAAUGUCUGAAUAAGUCCUGAAUUUCUUCCAACAAAUAGACACACUAAUUAGAUUCAGAAACCUAAAGAGAUUGAGUUCCUGAUGCCGCGAUGGGUGUGCAAACGAGCUAGUUUACAUUUGUCCCCAUUACUGCCACGGCGAAAUAACACGUCGCACUACGGCUAUUUAAGCCACACAUCAUCUUCUUCCUCCUCUCACAUCCCUCAUCUAUCUCCCAUCCUUUGCCAUUUGCCCUUCUUGUUCUUUGACCCCUUCUCCUUCUUCACACCCCUAAGCCAUGCAGUACACUGGACCAACCUACCGCUUCCCACCCACCGCGUCGGAGAGGCUCUAUACUGCCGGCGUGUAUGUUGAGCGUACACUACGUGUGUGGGCGAUAUCAAGGUGGAGGACCGCAAGGGGCUUCGCCGAGUUCUUCCUCACGUCCGGCUACCGCCACCUCCCACGUGGAUCUCCAAGGAUGUUCCGCGUCGAGGAGGUCAUCCAAAACGGGGUGGUGGUUGCUAUCUGUGCCCGCUUCACCAACCCCUUCGAUGCCUUCUACCUUCUCGGGCGCGUGUUUUGGUGUGGUUGCAAGUUCAUCGCUUUCAUCACCCACAACAUCCUCACAGAGUACAGCAACAUCUUCCCCACCGCGUCGCACACGCACACUCUGCCGUACCACAUUGACAACACGCCGAAGGAGCAGUGAAGGGCACCCGGAGGAGCGAGGUGGAGAAGCCGAUGUCUAGGGUUUAGAACCCUCUAUCUUUUUUUCUUUUUUUGAAUCUAUGUUAUGUUAUUAAGUUGUAAUUGAACUAUAUGAUCGUGCUCUGGGCUUGUUGGCCUAUGUUAUGUUAUUAAGUUUUCUAUCUA
Long non-coding RNA from Triticum aestivum (bread wheat), 4046 nucleotides. RefSeq lists it as uncharacterized. NCBI's taxonomy places the organism in Eukaryota, Viridiplantae, Streptophyta, Magnoliopsida, Poales, Poaceae. The transcript has 6 exons. The record is from RefSeq and is a predicted model, not a curated record.